CGUGUGCCUGUUUUUUGUAAUUUUUUCUGUAUUUUUUUUUUAUAUGUUAAAGAAAUUUAAUGUAUACUAUAUUUUGACCCGCUUUAAAAGAGCUGGUAUUUUUUUUUUUUUUACAUUUUUGUUGAAAUUUAAUUUUUAUAUUUGUGUUUUUAGUUAUAUAUAUGUUUUUCUUUGUAUAAUGUUUAUCUUAAAUGAUUAAUAAGAUAUUUUAAUAAUUAUAUUAAAAUAAUUGAACCAUACUUAUAUCAA
This 249-nucleotide long non-coding RNA is filed under the name Brassica napus (rape). RNAcentral describes it as "long non-coding RNA (BNAP_LNC006509)". Lineage: Eukaryota; Viridiplantae; Streptophyta; Magnoliopsida; Brassicales; Brassicaceae. The record is from RNAcentral.